Molecule: ribosomal RNA, 497 nt
Filed under: uncultured bacterium
Lineage: Bacteria
Description: partial 16S ribosomal RNA
Rfam family: Bacterial small subunit ribosomal RNA
Source: RNAcentral
GAUGAACGCUGGCGGCGUGCCUAAUACAUGCAAGUCGAGCGAACGGACGAGAAGCUUGCUUCUCUGAUGUUGGCGGCUGACGGGUGAGUAACACGUGGAUAACCUACCUAUAAGACUGGGAUAACUUCGGGAAACCGGAGCUAAUACCGGAUAAUAUUUUGAACCGCAUGGUUCAAAAGUGAAAGACGGUCUUGCUGUCACUUAUAGAUGGAUCCGCGCUGCAUUAGCUAGUUGGUAAGGUAACGGCUUACCAAGGCAACGAUGCAUAGCCGACCUGAGAGGGUGAUCGGCCACACUGGAACUGAGACACGGUCCAGACUCCUACGGGAGGCAGCAGUAGGGAAUCUUCCGCAAUGGGCGAAAGCCUGACGGAGCAACGCCGCGUGAGUGAUGAAGGUCUUCGGAUCGUAAAACUCUGUUAUUAGGGAAGAACAUAUGUGUAAGUAACUGUGCACAUCUUGACGGUACCUAAUCAGAAAGCCACGGCUAACUACGUG